GUUGCUAGGGUCCACAAUUUCGGGCCGGGCAGGCAGACUACCGGGAAAACUUCAGAACCGGAUUGAGAUUAUAAGCCACCCCACUGUUCCAUCAUUUUCAAACGUCCCAGACGUGUCCCAAGCGUCAGAAUUGGUGUAGGUAAAUCCGAAACCUAGGCUUUCUUAAUUAUCGAGUGCCUAAUUUCGAUUAAAAAUCUAUAAAAU
This 204-nucleotide unclassified non-coding RNA is filed under the name Hevea brasiliensis (rubber tree). Lineage: Eukaryota; Viridiplantae; Streptophyta; Magnoliopsida; Malpighiales; Euphorbiaceae. The record is from RNAcentral.